CACGUAGGGCGCAAGCGUUGUCCGGAAUUAUUGGGCGUAAAGAGCUCGUAGGCGGUCUGUUGCGUCCGCUGUGAAAACCCGGGGCUUAACCCCUGGCUUGCAGUGGAUACGGACAGACUAGAGGUAGGUAGGGGAGAAUGGAAUUCCCGGUGUAGCGGUGAAAUGCGCAGAUAUCGGGAGGAACACCGGUGGCGAAGGCGGUUCUCUGGGCCUUACCUGACGCUGAGAAGCGAAAGCAUGGGGAGCGAACAGG
RNAcentral lists this ribosomal RNA (253 nucleotides) under uncultured bacterium. RNAcentral's name for it is "partial 16S ribosomal RNA". It matches the Rfam family "Bacterial small subunit ribosomal RNA", at positions 524 to 776 of the family's 1533-position model. The record is from RNAcentral.